RNAcentral lists this ribosomal RNA (497 nucleotides) under uncultured bacterium. RNAcentral describes it as "partial 16S ribosomal RNA". It matches the Rfam family "Bacterial small subunit ribosomal RNA", at positions 28 to 507 of the family's 1533-position model. The record is from RNAcentral.
GACGAACGCUGGCGGCGUGCCUAAUACAUGCAAGUAGAACGCUGAAGAGAGGAGCUUGCUCUUCUUGGAUGAGUUGCGAACGGGUGAGUAACGCGUAGGUAACCUGCCUGGUAGCGGGGGAUAACUAUUGGAAACGAUAGCUAAUACCGCAUAAAAUUGAUUAUUGCAUGAUAAUUAAUUGAAAGAUGCAACUGCAUCACUACCAGAUGGAUCUGCGUUGUAUUAGCUAGUUGGUGAGGUAACGGCUCACCAAGGCGACGAUACAUAGCCGACCUGAGAGGGUGAUCGACCACACUGGGACUGAGACACGGCCCAGGCUCCUACAGGAGGCAGCAGUAGGGAAUCUUCGGCAAUUGGGGGAACCCUGACCGAGCAACGCCGCGUGAGUGAAGAAGGGUUUCGGAUCGUAAAGCUCUGUUGUAAGAGAAGAACGGGUGUGAGAGUGGAAAGUUCACACUGUGACGGUAUCUUACCAGAAAGGGACGGCUAACUACGUG